Anopheles gambiae (African malaria mosquito) is the source of this 968-nucleotide long non-coding RNA. RefSeq lists it as uncharacterized. NCBI's taxonomy places the organism in Eukaryota, Metazoa, Arthropoda, Insecta, Diptera, Culicidae. The record is from RefSeq and is a predicted model, not a curated record. The transcript is spliced from 2 exons.
GGUUCGGCAGUGCAGUGACGCCACUGAGCAGCCGCUAAGGAGCGACAGCGCCAGGCAAACAGGUCGGUCAGUCGGUCGGUCGGCGGCGCCAAUGCGAUCGUGAGCAGCACGAGACUUUAGCCCGAGAAGGUUGAUGGGAGCUCGCCUUGCCGGUCGAUAGGCGCAGUGAAGGAAGCUUUUCCUCAAUCUUGCCCACAGGGAAUUAAUAAACCUGUUCAGGCAGCCUUCUUCUCAGCCCCGUGCCAUUGAACCCGUUUUUGCAAAGAUGAACUUCAUAGCAAUCAGAAUGAAGCCGUUCAAUCGGUGUAAUUGACUGAGAGUAGAAAUGUGGUUUGGAAGAAAACCACCACCUGAGGAAAAGAAAAACCGGUCUAUUGCUUGAAGGCAAAUCCGCAAUUGGACGCCGCGCGCUAAGAUGAUGAAAAUCAACGCUCUACACAGCAGCCACGCAAUGACGUGUGCAAUAAUUGAACUGGGUGCUUUUAAUUCUCUAUUUUAAGCCAUACCCAACGGUAACAUCCCCUGCAGAAGUGCGGCAGAAGGCCACCGUGACCACGGGCGUCUCCGCUGCAUCCCCUCUACGGCUGUCUAGACAGAUCGUUUCUGGCACGGGGGCCUCGAAGUGAGAGCGAAUAAUGCCGGCCGGCCGGCGAAGCAGCCGGUUCUACAUCGAUCAGUGCUACACGCUCGUGCGCCUCUCGCACCUUGCAAUAAAGCGAUGCAUCGAAACAGUUCGAUCAAUGAUUAAUAUUGUCUUCUUUUUUUAAAUUCUAUCCCGUAUUAUAUUAAAAUGUUUUGCAACAUGUGUUGUAGCUAGAUCAUUGCUUGAAAUUGAGCAAUAUUAAAUCUAACCUGCUGCAAAAUUAACACUGUAAUCGACUAGCUCAAAAGUAGAUCCGAUCAAAUUGGCAAAUAUCUGCUAAUUGCCUAUCUCAACAUCACUUUAACCAUAUUUACACCUUUCAAAA